Molecule: ribosomal RNA, 184 nt
Filed under: uncultured bacterium
Lineage: Bacteria
Description: partial 16S ribosomal RNA
Rfam family: Bacterial small subunit ribosomal RNA
Source: RNAcentral
CUGCAUGAAGUCGGAAUUGCUAGUAAUCGCGGAUCAGCAUGCCGCGGUGAAUACGUUCCCGGGCCUUGUACACACCGCCCGUCACACCAUGGGAGCCGGUAAUACCCGAAGUCAGUAGUCCAACCUCGUGAGGACGCUGCCGAAGGUAGGAUUGGCGACUGGGGUAAAGUCGUAACAAGGUACC